AGUGGCGCACGGGUGAGUAACGCGUGGGUAACCUACCCUUAAAUUGGGGAUAACUCUUCGAAAGGGGAGUUAAUACCGAAUAAUAUUUCCUACGGCAAAGGUGCGUUUGAGGAUGGGCCCGCGUACCAUUAGCUAGUUGGUAGGGUAAUAGCCUACCAAGGCAACGAUGGUUAGCUGGUCUAAGAGGAUGGUCAGCCACACUGGAACUGAGACACGGUCCAGACUCCUACGGGAGGCAGCAGUGGGGAAUCUUGCGCAAUGGGGGAAACCUUGACGCAGCAACGCCGCGUGGGUGAUGAAGGCCUUCGGGUCGUAAAGCCCUGUCAGGUGGGAAGAAUGACGGUACCACCGGAGGAAGCACCGGCUAACUCCGUGCCAG
Molecule: ribosomal RNA, 379 nt
Filed under: uncultured soil bacterium
Lineage: Bacteria
Description: bacterial SSU rRNA
Rfam family: Bacterial small subunit ribosomal RNA
Source: RNAcentral